This is a long non-coding RNA of Chinchilla lanigera (long-tailed chinchilla), 685 nucleotides long. RefSeq lists it as uncharacterized. The record is from RefSeq and is a predicted model, not a curated record. The transcript is spliced from 7 exons. Lineage: Eukaryota; Metazoa; Chordata; Mammalia; Rodentia; Chinchillidae.
ACUCAGGACUCUGUGCUUGCCAGGCAGGUGUUUGUGCCACUGAGCUAUAUCCCUGGUCCAAGUUCAUCACUUUUGAAAGUGCCAGACCUGUGGAAGGACGUACAAGUUGCUUCAAUGCAAAUGAAGACGUCCACUGGCUUAACAAGUUUUGGGCUUUUGAGGUAGUGUCUCUCUAUGGCAUGAGGUUGGUCUCUGACUGAAGAUCCUUCUGCCUUGGCCUUCUGACUGCUGGAAUUACAUGUGUGAGCCAUCAUGCUGAGGGACCUGCCCUGAGUACUACUUCUUGUAGUCUGUGAUAAAUGUAGCUGCUUUUCAUUUACCUGUGGAUGUAAACUUGCAAUUCUUUGCUCGCUGUAUAUCUGUCAGAUCAACUCCCCCCCCAAUCACUUGCAUUGGGUGUUGAGUAUUUGUCUCAGCAACAAGAAAAGUAACUAAAACAGUGAGCCAGCCAGGAGACGUUGGAAGAAAGACCCAUCAUGGGAAAUGCCUCAUCUAUUCCUUCCGACUCCCUGCUCAGAUGCCUCCUCACUCACUGGAAACAUUCCAUCUCCAGCCUCCUGAAUGCUGGGAUUACAGGCAUGCACUUGUGCACUGGUUUGAAGAACUGGAAUACUGCUGCUGAGAGACCCAAUGAAAAGGACCCAGGAUGAAAAGGACCUCAAAAAAAAAAAAAAGAAAAGCCUGA